This is an RNA transcript of Capra hircus (goat), 415 nucleotides long. The record is from RefSeq and is a predicted model, not a curated record. Lineage: Eukaryota; Metazoa; Chordata; Mammalia; Artiodactyla; Bovidae.
AGCCAUGGCGGCUAACGCUACCACUAACCCGUCGCAGCUGCUUCCUCUAGAGCUUGUGGACAAGUGUAUAGGAUCAAGAAUUCACAUUGUGAUGAAGAGUGAUAAAGAGAUUGUUGGCACACUUCUGGGAUUUGAUGACUUUGUCAAUGUGGUAUUGGAAGAUGUCACUGAAUUUGAAAUCACACCAGAAGGAAGAAUUACUAAAUUAGAUCAAAUUUUGCUAAAUGGAAAUAAUAUAACAAUGCUGGUUCCUGGAGGAGAAGGACCUGAAGUAUGAAUGAAUUUCCUUGACGUAUGCUUAGGUUCUGUUUUCUUUUAUAAUGACAACAAAAUAGAAUUUUUUUUUAACCUUUUAAUGUUUGUAUUCUGUGAAGCCAAGUUUCCCGUUAAAGGGAAAUGCUUUGAAGAGACACAU